GAUGAACGCUGGCGGCGUGCCUCAUACAUGCAAGUCGAGCGAAUGGAUUAAGAGCUUGCUCUUAUGAAGUUAGCGGCGGACGGGUGAGUAACACGUGAGUAACCUGCCCAUAAGACUGGGAUAACUCCGGGAAACCGGGGCUAAUACCGGAUAACAUUUUGAACCGCAUGGUUCGAAAUUGAAAGGCGGCUUCGGCUGUCACUUAUGGAUGGACCCGCGUCGCAUUAGCUAGUUGGUGAGGUAACGGCUCACCAAGGCAACGAUGCGUAGCCGACCUGAGAGGGUGAUCGGCCACACUGGGACUGAGACACGGCCCAGACUCCUACGGGAGGCAGCAGUAGGGAAUCUUCCGCAAUGGACGAAAGUCUGACGGAGCAACGCCGCGUGAGAGAUGAAGGCUUUCGGGUCGUAAAACUCUGUUGUUAGGGAAGAACAAGUGCUAGUUGAAUAAGCUGGCACCUUGACGGUACCUAACCAGAAAGCCACGGCUAACUACGUGCCAGCCGCCGCCGUAA
RNAcentral lists this ribosomal RNA (515 nucleotides) under uncultured bacterium. Its description in RNAcentral is "partial 16S ribosomal RNA". It matches the Rfam family "Bacterial small subunit ribosomal RNA", at positions 28 to 523 of the family's 1533-position model. The record is from RNAcentral.